CCUACGGGGGGCAGCAGUGGGGAAUAUUGGGCAAUGGGCGCAAGCCUGACCCAGCAACGCCGCGUGAAGGAAGAAGGCUUUCGGGUUGUAAACUUCUUUUCUCAGGGACGAAGCAAGUGACGGUACCUGAGGAAUAAGCCACGGCUAACUACGUGCCAGCAGCCGCGGUAAUACGUAGGUGGCAAGCGUUAUCCGGAUUUACUGGGUGUAAAGGGCGUGUAGGCGGGAAAGCAAGUCAGAUGUGAAAACCAUGGGCUCAACCUGUGGCCUGCAUUUGAAACUGCAUGGCUGGAGUGCGGGAGGGGCAGGCGGAAUUCCUGGUGUAGCGGUGAAAUGCGUAGAUAUCAGGAGGAACACCGGCGGCGAAGGCGGCCUGCUGGACCGCGACUGACGUUGAGGCUCGAAAGCGUGGGGAGCGAACAGGAUUAGAUACCCGGGUAGUC
This 443-nucleotide ribosomal RNA is filed under the name uncultured bacterium. Its description in RNAcentral is "partial 16S ribosomal RNA". It matches the Rfam family "Bacterial small subunit ribosomal RNA", at positions 338 to 795 of the family's 1533-position model. The record is from RNAcentral.